RNAcentral lists this ribosomal RNA (305 nucleotides) under uncultured bacterium. Its description in RNAcentral is "bacterial SSU rRNA". It matches the Rfam family "Bacterial small subunit ribosomal RNA", at positions 335 to 657 of the family's 1533-position model. The record is from RNAcentral.
GUUCCUACGGGAGGCAGCAGUGGGGAAUAUUGCACAAUGGGGGAAACCCUGAUGCAGCGACGCCGCGUGAAGGAAGAAGUAUUUCGGUAUGUAAACUUCUAUCAGCAGGGAAGAAAAUGACGGUACCUGACUAAGAAGCCCCGGCUAACUACGUGCCAGCAGCCGCGGUAAUACGUAGGGGGCAAGCGUUAUCCGGAUUUACUGGGUGUAAAGGGAGCGUAGGCGGUGCAGCAAGUCAGAAGUGAAAGCCCGGGGCCCAACCCCGGGACUGCUCUUGGAACUGCAUGGCUGGAGUACAGGAGGGG